Molecule: small nucleolar RNA, 138 nt
Organism: Ornithorhynchus anatinus (platypus)
Lineage: Eukaryota; Metazoa; Chordata; Mammalia; Monotremata; Ornithorhynchidae
Source: RefSeq, a predicted model, not a curated record
CCCCUCUCAGGGUCACAUCUGGAGAGUUUCUAGUACUCUACUAGUCCCGACUAUGGGAAGCAGAGUAAAGUAGAGGCAUACCCAUUCCAUUCCUAGCUUGAGCAGUGGCUAGUGAAUGUAAGAUAAUCUGCUACAAGU